AUGGAUUUCAUGGGAGUCAGGGAGCAGAAAGUUGGUUUGGUUUUGUCCCUAAAUGGAAGAGUCCAACACACUUUUACUGGAUUAAAGGCCAUACCUCAUCUCCUUUCUCUGGAUGGAUUACUGAAGUGCAAAAAGAACAUUCACCAUGGUAACAUCAAUGUGAUGGUCAACAAGAGACUGUAUGGACUGCAUGUCAGGAACAGGAAUGUAUUUGGGAAAAGCACUGUGCACAAUAUCACCAUUGCCAUUUUUCAGAAUGGCAGUCAGGCAAUCCCAGGGGAGGCAAGACUGAACGGACACCUGGAACUGAGUAAAAAGGAGAAAAGGGGGCUAGCCAGCUUCCAGGUGGAUGAGAAGGCUCUUUCUGUAGAUUUUUUAAAUAUCAUGGAUCAUGAGCAUGGCAGAGUCAGCGGGACUUUCACACAUAAUGUCGACUUUUUAAAAAAUGCAGGCUUACCUUUGGAUGGCAUUCUUACUGCCACAUGUGAGCAUGGCACAGGAAAUCACACCAUUGCCAUUGCCCUGCAGAGUGGCAGUGAAAGGAUUGCUGCUGUGUUUGAGGGGCACAGACUAGCCACAGAGCCUCCAACAUCCCAGCUAUCUGUGAUCUUAAAGCACAACACCUCAAAGAUAAAGAAACUUGGGAUCCCUUUUGUUUUAGAAGCUGCUGGCUAUUAUGAGGUAAGAAGAGUUCUACCUGUGAAAGUAUAAUUUCUGACAGGACAAUUUGUGUAUAUAUAAUAACUCUAGACUUUUCC
RNAcentral lists this long non-coding RNA (758 nucleotides) under Ficedula albicollis (Collared flycatcher). Its description in RNAcentral is "lncRNA (ENSFALG00000026182.1)". The record is from RNAcentral. Lineage: Eukaryota; Metazoa; Chordata; Aves; Passeriformes; Muscicapidae.